GAGGAAUAUUGGUCAAUGGGCGCAAGCCUGAACCAGCCAUGCCGCGUGCAGGAAGAAGCAUCUAUGGUGUGUAAACUGCUUUUAUACAGGAAGAAACCUCCCUACGUGUAGGGACUUGACGGUACUGUAGGAAUAAGGAUCGGCUAACUCCGUGCCAGCAGCCGCGGUAAUACGGAGGAUCCAAGCGUUAUCCGGAAUCAUUGGGUUUAAAGGGUCCGUAGGCGGUCUUAUAAGUCAGUGGUGAAAGCCCAUCGCUCAACGAUGGAACUGCCAUUGAUACUGUAAGACUUGAAUUUUUGUGAAGUAACUAGAAUAUGUAGUGUAGCGGUGAAAUGCUUAGAUAUUACAUGGAAUACCAAUUGCGAAGGCAGGUUACUAACAAACGAUUGACGCUGAUGGACGAAAGCGUGGGGAGCGAAC
RNAcentral lists this ribosomal RNA (420 nucleotides) under uncultured bacterium. Its description in RNAcentral is "bacterial SSU rRNA". It matches the Rfam family "Bacterial small subunit ribosomal RNA", at positions 356 to 773 of the family's 1533-position model. The record is from RNAcentral.